GCUUCCGAGGAGCGCUGCAAGGUCGGGCCGUAUGGCUCAAACCCUAGGCUCGGAACCUGUUUUCAACGGCGCUCACCUACC
RNAcentral lists this non-coding RNA (81 nucleotides) under Rugosibacter aromaticivorans. RNAcentral's name for it is "SAH sequence". It matches the Rfam family "SAH (S-adenosyl-L-homocysteine) riboswitch aptamer". The record is from Rfam by way of RNAcentral. Lineage: Bacteria; Pseudomonadati; Pseudomonadota; Betaproteobacteria; Nitrosomonadales; Sterolibacteriaceae.